RNAcentral lists this long non-coding RNA (266 nucleotides) under Elaeis guineensis (African oil palm). RNAcentral's name for it is "long non-coding RNA (EGUI_LNC003174)". Lineage: Eukaryota; Viridiplantae; Streptophyta; Magnoliopsida; Arecales; Arecaceae. The record is from RNAcentral.
GGAGAAGUCUACUCAUAUAGGCUAUGCUAGAGUCUGUGUGAAGAUCGAUAUUACCAAGAAAAUUUGUCCAAAAAGUAAAUUCGAAGUUGAGGUAGGAUGGAUAUGGCAAGAAUUUAUUUGUGAAGAAAUUUUGAAGCUUAGCUACCACUGUGGUUUGCUUGGGAGGACUUUAGAAUCUUGUGAUUGUUGGACCAAAGGUGAUAUUCCUUCCAAAAAAUCUCUAUUUGGUCCUUGGAUUAGAGUAGCUAGAGUCUUAAUUGCCCCUC